GGUUAAGCGACUAAGCGUACACGGUGGAUGCCCUGGCAGUCAGAGGCGAUGAAGGACGUGCUAAUCUGCGAUAAGCGUCGGUAAGGUGAUAUGAACCGUUAUAACCGGCGAUUUCCGAAUGGGGAAACCCAGUGUGUUUCGACACACUAUCAUUAACUGAAUCCAUAGGUUAAUGAGGCGAACCGGGGGAACUGAAACAUCUAAGUACCCCGAGGAAAAGAAAUCAACCGAGAUUCCCCCAGUAGCGGCGAGCGAACGGGGAGGAGCCCAGAGCCUGAAUCAGUGUGUGUGUUAGUGGAAGCGUCUGGAAAGGCGCGCGAUACAGGGUGACAGCCCCGUACACAAAAAUGCACAUGCUGUGAGCUCGAUGAGUAGGGCGGGACACGUGGUAUCCUGUCUGAAUAUGGGGGGACCAUCCUCCAAGGCUAAAUACUCCUGACUGACCGAUAGUGAACCAGUACCGUGAGGGAAAGGCGAAAAGAACCCCGGCGAGGGGAGUGAAAAAGAACCUGAAACCGUGUACGUACAAGCAGUGGGAGCCUCUUUAUGGGGUGACUGCGUACCUUUUGUAUAAUGGGUCAGCGACUUAUAUUCUGUAGCAAGGUUAACCGAAUAGGGGAGCCGAAGGGAAACCGAGUCUUAACUGGGCGUUAAGUUGCAGGGUAUAGACCCGAAACCCGGUGAUCUAGCCAUGGGCAGGUUGAAGGUUGGGUAACACUAACUGGAGGACCGAACCGACUAAUGUUGAAAAAUUAGCGGAUGACUUGUGGCUGGGGGUGAAAGGCCAAUCAAACCGGGAGAUAGCUGGUUCUCCCCGAAAGCUAUUUAGGUAGCGCCUCGUGAAUUCAUCUCCGGGGGUAGAGCACUGUUUCGGCAAGGGGGUCAUCCCGACUUACCAACCCGAUGCAAACUGCGAAUACCGGAGAAUGUUAUCACGGGAGACACACGGCGGGUGCUAACGUCCGUCGUGAAGAGGGAAACAACCCAGACCGCCAGCUAAGGUCCCAAAGUCAUGGUUAAGUGGGAAACGAUGUGGGAAGGCCCAGACAGCCAGGAUGUUGGCUUAGAAGCAGCCAUCAUUUAAAGAAAGCGUAAUAGCUCACUGGUCGAGUCGGCCUGCGCGGAAGAUGUAACGGGGCUAAACCAUGCACCGAAGCUGCGGCAGCGACGCUUAUGCGUUGUUGGGUAGGGGAGCGUUCUGUAAGCCUGCGAAGGUGUACUGUGAGGUAUGCUGGAGGUAUCAGAAGUGCGAAUGCUGACAUAAGUAACGAUAAAGCGGGUGAAAAGCCCGCUCGCCGGAAGACCAAGGGUUCCUGUCCAACGUUAAUCGGGGCAGGGUGAGUCGACCCCUAAGGCGAGGCCGAAAGGCGUAGUCGAUGGGAAACAGGUUAAUAUUCCUGUACUUGGUGUUACUGCGAAGGGGGGACGGAGAAGGCUAUGUUGGCCGGGCGACGGUUGUCCCGGUUUAAGCGUGUAGGCUGGUUUUCCAGGCAAAUCCGGAAAAUCAAGGCUGAGGCGUGAUGACGAGGCACUACGGUGCUGAAGCAACAAAUGCCCUGCUUCCAGGAAAAGCCUCUAAGCAUCAGGUAACAUCAAAUCGUACCCCAAACCGACACAGGUGGUCAGGUAGAGAAUACCAAGGCGCUUGAGAGAACUCGGGUGAAGGAACUAGGCAAAAUGGUGCCGUAACUUCGGGAGAAGGCACGCUGAUAUGUAGGUGAAGUCCCUCGCGGAUGGAGCUGAAAUCAGUCGAAGAUACCAGCUGGCUGCAACUGUUUAUUAAAAACACAGCACUGUGCAAACACGAAAGUGGACGUAUACGGUGUGACGCCUGCCCGGUGCCGGAAGGUUAAUUGAUGGGGUUAGCGGUAACGCGAAGCUCUUGAUCGAAGCCCCGGUAAACGGCGGCCGUAACUAUAACGGUCCUAAGGUAGCGAAAUUCCUUGUCGGGUAAGUUCCGACCUGCACGAAUGGCGUAAUGAUGGCCAGGCUGUCUCCACCCGAGACUCAGUGAAAUUGAACUCGCUGUGAAGAUGCAGUGUACCCGCGGCAAGACGGAAAGACCCCGUGAACCUUUACUAUAGCUUGACACUGAACAUUGAGCCUUGAUGUGUAGGAUAGGUGGGAGGCUUUGAAGUGUGGACGCCAGUCUGCAUGGAGCCGACCUUGAAAUACCACCCUUUAAUGUUUGAUGUUCUAACGUUGGCCCCUGAUCGGGGUUGCGGACAGUGUCUGGUGGGUAGUUUGACUGGGGCGGUCUCCUCCUAAAGAGUAACGGAGGAGCACGAAGGUUGGCUAAUCCUGGUCGGACAUCAGGAGGUUAGUGCAAUGGCAUAAGCCAGCUUGACUGCGAGCGUGACGGCGCGAGCAGGUGCGAAAGCAGGUCAUAGUGAUCCGGUGGUUCUGAAUGGAAGGGCCAUCGCUCAACGGAUAAAAGGUACUCCGGGGAUAACAGGCUGAUACCGCCCAAGAGUUCAUAUCGACGGCGGUGUUUGGCACCUCGAUGUCGGCUCAUCACAUCCUGGGGCUGAAGUAGGUCCCAAGGGUAUGGCUGUUCGCCAUUUAAAGUGGUACGCGAGCUGGGUUUAGAACGUCGUGAGACAGUUCGGUCCCUAUCUGCCGUGGGCGCUGGAGAACUGAGGGGGGCUGCUCCUAGUACGAGAGGACCGGAGUGGACGCAUCACUGGUGUUCGGGUUGUCAUGCCAAUGGCACUGCCCGGUAGCUAAAUGCGGAAGAGAUAAGUGCUGAAAGCAUCUAAGCACGAAACUUGCCCCGAGAUGAGUUCUCCCUGACCCUUUAAGGGUCCUGAAGGAACGUUGAAGACGACGACGUUGAUAGGCCGGGUGUGUAAGCGCAGCGAUGCGUUGAGCUAACCGGUACUAAUGAACCGUGAGGCUUAACCUU
Molecule: ribosomal RNA, 2905 nt
Filed under: Escherichia coli
Lineage: Bacteria; Pseudomonadati; Pseudomonadota; Gammaproteobacteria; Enterobacterales; Enterobacteriaceae
Description: 23S ribosomal RNA
Rfam family: Bacterial large subunit ribosomal RNA
Source: RNAcentral